RNAcentral lists this long non-coding RNA (4363 nucleotides) under Sus scrofa (pig). RNAcentral describes it as "lncRNA (ENSSSCG00000054828.1)". The record is from RNAcentral. Lineage: Eukaryota; Metazoa; Chordata; Mammalia; Artiodactyla; Suidae.
GGGUUCAAUCCCGGGCCUCCCUCAGUGGGUUAAGGAUCUGGCAUUGCCCCAAGCUGUGGCAAAGGCUCAGAUUCUGCAUUCCUGUGGCUGUGGUGUUGGCCAGUAGCUGCAGCUCUGAUUCAGCUCUUAGCCCAGGAACUUCCACAUGCCACAGUUUGGCCAUAAAAAGAAAAUUUUAAAAAGGGGGUGGGAGGGACAAAGGUGGAAAGUACACAAAAGAUCACUAGCCAUGAAAGGAAGGCUGGAAAGCCCAAGGUAGUAAGUAGGUCAAGGAACCAGGAGUGGGCACAGUUUGUAGGAGGCCUUUGCCCACAGCCAGGGAAGAUCAAGACACAAAACAAAUGAGCUGCCAACUGCUACUGGCUGGUGCAGUAUGAAUCUAGGAUAUAUACCUUGUAUUCAAAAUUGUCUCUCUUCUGCUUGAACACCUAACUCACCUGUUGGAAUGCUGGCCUGCCAUGGGCAUUAAGUGAAGUGGGAGCAUGCUCUGGUGAAGACUUGAGAAGGGUUGCUGUGGUCACCUCAGAAGGAGCUCAGUGAUUACCCUCAGCUGUAACUUUGAAAAAGAACAGAUGAUAGCUGUAAGGUUUCUGCUGGAGUAGCAUGAUCCUGAAAUGCUAUAUGUUCUUAGCUGACAGAACUCCCCAUGAGAGCCAGAAAUACAAAACCACAAUGAUCUGUUCAUAUUCCAGCUUUAAGAGCACCAGAUCCCACUCUAAAGAGAAUACUAAGGGGUACCUAAGGGGUUUUUUUGAUAUGACUAAUCAGCUGCCUUCAUCAAUAAGAUGUCAAUGUACAUAAAAUUUGAUCCUGUUUUUCCAGACUGCCAAUUUGAGGACGUCAACAUAGUUCAAGUCUUACAUGCAGAAAUGUGAUAAGGCUCAUUGUCCAGGCAAGAUUCUGAAUUACUUCAUGACUGAUUACACAGUGGUGCCUGUGAUUCUUAAUCUCUUUUUAAAAAGUCAUUAAUUUCCAGUAAAUAAUUCAUGAGCAUGGUAACAAACUGUAUAUAUUGAAAACUCUUCUCCCACGCCUGUGCCCCAACAAACUGUAUAUAUUGAAAACUCUUCUCCCACGCCUGUGCCCCAGCCUUUCGUUCUCCUUCUAAGAGAACUUGUUUUCAUUAAAGUGUAAUUGAUUUACAAUAUUGUCCUAAUUUCUGCUGUACAUCAAAGGGAUGCAGUUAUAUAUACUUUUUAAAAAUACCAUUUUCCCAGAGUUCCUGAUGUGGCUCAGUGGUUAACGAACCCACUAGUAUCCAUGAGAACAUGGGUUCAAUCUCUUGCCUUGCUCAGAGGGUUAAGGUUCUGGCAUUGCUGUGAGCUGUGGUAUAGGCCGACAGGUACAGCUCACAUUGGACCCCCUAGCCUGGGAAAUUCCAUAUGCUGUGGGUGUGGUCCUAAAAAGAUAAAAGACAAAAAAUACAUAUUUUUUCCCAUUAUUGUUUAUCAUAGGACAUUGAAUGUAGUUAUCUGCGCCAUACAAUAGGACCUUGUUGUUUAUCUCCUUGGCAUAUAAUAGUUCAUAUCUGCUAACCUCAACAUCCCUCUCCCAACCCCCUCCCCCUUGGCAACCACACGUCUGUUCUCUUUGUGGGUCUAUUUCUGCCCUGUAGAUAGGUUCAUUUGUGUCAUAUUUUAGAUCACACAUGUAAGUGAUAUCAUUUGGUAUUUGUCUUUCUAUUUCGGACUGACUUCACUUAGUAUGAUAAUCUCUAAGUCCAUCCAUGUUGCUGCAAAUGGCAUUAUUUCAUUCUUUUUAUGGCUGAGUAGUAUCCCAUUGUAUACCUAUACCACAUCUUUUUAAUCCAUUAAUCUGUCCAUGGACAUUUAGGUUGUUUCUAUGUCUUGGCUGUUGUGAAUAGCACUGCUAUGAAUAUAGGGGGUGCAUGUAUCUUUUUGAAUUACAGUUUCAUCCAGUUAUAUACCCAGGAGUGGGAUUGCUGGAUCAUAUGGUAGUUCCAUAUUUAGUUUUCCAAGUAACCUCUAUACUGUUUUCCAUAGUGGCUAAACCAACUUACAUUCCCACCAACAGUGUAGGAGGGUUCCCUUUUCUACAUGCCCUCUCCAGCAUUAUUUGUAGACUUACUAAUGAUAGCAAUUUUGACUGGUGUAAAGUGGUACCUCAUUGUAGUUUUGAUUUGCAUUUCUCUAAUAAUUAAUGAUGUUGAACUUUUUUUUUUUAUGUGCUUAAUGGCCAUUUGUAUUUCUUCUUUGGGGAAAAAAUGUCUGUUUUGAUCUUCUGCCCAUUUUUUUGAUUGGGUUGUUUGGGAUUUUUUUGUUGUUGUUUGGGUUUUUUUGUUUGUUUGUUUUGUUUUGUUUUGUUUUGCCACACCUGUGGAUGUGGAAGUUCCCGGGCCAAGGAUUGAACCCGUACCACAGCAGCGACCUGAGCUGCUGCAGUGACAUCAGAUCCUCAACCUGAGGUGCCACAAGAGAACUCCCCAUUCGUUUGUUUUUAUUUCUAUUGCCUUGGGAGAUUGACCUAAGAUAACACUAGUAUGAUUUAUGGCAGAGAAUGUUUUGCCUAUGAUCUCUUCUCGGAGUUUUAUGGUGUCGUCUUUAAACCAUUUUGAGUUUAUUUAUUGUGUAUGGUGAGAGUGUAAUAUUCUAACAUCAUUUAUUUACAUGCAGCUGUCCAGCUAUCCUGACACCACUUGCUGAAGAGACUUUUUCCCAUUGUGUAUUUUUGCCUCCCUUAUUGAAGAUUAAUUAACUGUGGGUAUGUGUGUUUGUUUCUGGGCUCUCUAUUCUGUUCCACUGAUCCAUAUGCCUAUUUUUGUGCCAAUACCAUGCCAUUUUGUAGUAUUGUCUGAAGUCAAGAGGGUUAUGCCUCCUGCUUUGUUCUUCAGGAUUGCUUUGGCAAUCUUUGGUUUUUUUAUGGUUCCAUGUACAUUUCAGGAUUAUUUGUUCUAGUUCUGUGAAAAAUGUCAUGGGCGAUUUGAUAGGGAUAAUAUUAAAUGUGUACAUUGCUUUGGGUAGUGUGGCCAUUUUAACAAAAUUAAUUCUUCCAAUCCAAGAGCAUGGGAUAACUUUUCAUUUAUUUAAAUCAUCUUCAUUUUCCUUUAUUAAUGUUUUAUAGUUCUCAGCAUUGAAGUCUUUAACAUCCUUGGUCAGGUUUAUCCCUAAAUAUUUUAUUUUUGGCAGUGCAAUUUUAAAAGGUUUUUUACGUUCCCUUUCUGAUUUUUCAUUGUUAGUCAAGAAAUGCAACUGAUUUCUGUAUGCUAAUCUUGUAUCCUGCUCCCUUACAGAAUUAUCAGUUUUAGUAGUUUGUAGAGUCUUUAGGGUGUUCUGUGUAAAGUAUCAUGUCACCCACACAUAAUGACAGUUUUACCUCUUCCCUUCCAAAUUAGAUACUUUUUAUUUCUUUUUCUUGUCUAAUUGCUAUGGCUAGGACUUCCAAUACUAUGUUUAGUAGAAGAUGUGAGAGGAAACAUCCUCUUCUUGUUCCAGGUUAUAACGGGAAGGCUUUCAACUUUUCACUGUUGAGUAUUAUAUUGGCUGUGGGUUUGACAUAGAUAGCUUUUAUUAUGUUGAGAUGUCUUCCCUCUAUACCCACUUUGGUAAGAGUUUUUAUCAUGAAUGGAUGUUGAAUUUUGUCAAAUGCUUUUUCUUUGCAUGCAGAGUUUCCAGGCCAGGAUUGAACCUGUGCCACAGCAGCAACAAAGCCAGAUUCUUAACCUACUGUACCAUGAAGAGACUCUUCAAAUACUUUUUCUGCAUCUAUUGAGGUGAUCAUGUGGGUUUUGUCUUUUUCUUUUGUUUAUGUGGUGUUAUCAUAUUGAUUGAUCUGCAUUUAUUGAACCAUCCUUGUAAACUAGGGAGGAAUUCCACUUGGUUGUGGUGCAUAAUCUUUUUAAUGUGUUUUUAGAUUUGGUUUGCUAAUAUUUUGUUGAGAAUUUUUACAUCUCAUCUAUGUUCACUAAAGAUACUGGCCUGUAAUUUUCUUUUUCGGUCAUGUCUUUGUCUGGUUUUGGUAUCAGGGUCAUAGUGGCUUAAUAGAAUGUUGUUGGGAAUGUUCCUUCCUCAUCACUUUUUUGGAAGAAUUUGAGAAGUAUCAAUAUAAGUUCUCCUUUGUAUGUUUGGUAGAAUUUGCCUGUGAAGCCAUCUGAACCUGGACUUUUGCUUGUAGGGAGUUUUUAAGUUAAAAUUCUAUUUCAGGAGUUGCUAUUGUGGCUCAACAGUAAAGAACCUGACUAGUAUCUACAAAGCCAUGGGUUCAAUCCCAGGCCUCGCUCAGUGGGCUAAGGAUCUGGCAUUGCCAUGAGCUAUGGUGUAGGCUACAGACAUGGCUCAUAUCCCAUGUUGUGGCUGUGGUGUAGACUGGCAGCUGUAGCUCUGAUUCGCCCCCUAGCCUGGGAAUC